AUUGAACGCUGGCGGCAGGCCUAACACAUGCAAGUCGAACGAGUGGCGGACGGGUGAGUAAUGUCUGGGCAACUGCCCGAUGGAGGGGGAUAACUACUGGAAACGGUAGCUAAUACCGCAUACCAUCGGAUGUUCCCAGAUGGGAUUAGCUCGUAGGGGGGGUAACGGCUCACCUAGGCGACGUUCCCUAGCUGGUCUGAGAGGAUGACCAGCCACACUGGAAUGGAGACACGGUCCAGACUCCUACGGGAGGCAGCAGUGGGGAAUAUUGCACAAUGGGCGAAAGCCUGACGCAGCAAUGCCGCGUGUGUGAUGAAGGUCUUCGGGUUGUAAAAUUCUGUCAGUAGGGAAGCGGUACCUACAGAAAAAGCACCGGCUAACUCCGUGCCAGCAGCCGCGGUAAUAC
RNAcentral lists this ribosomal RNA (406 nucleotides) under uncultured bacterium. RNAcentral's name for it is "partial 16S ribosomal RNA". It matches the Rfam family "Bacterial small subunit ribosomal RNA", at positions 30 to 526 of the family's 1533-position model. The record is from RNAcentral.